CCCUUAGAUGUCCUGGGCUGCACGCGCGCUACACUGAUGUGUCCAGUAAGCACCUAACCUCUUCCGAAAGGAACGGGUAACCUUUGCAAAGCACAUCGUGAUGGGGAUAGAUUAUUGCAAUUAUUAGUCUUGAACGAGGAAUUCCCAGUAAGCGCGAGUCAUAAGCUCGCGUUGAUUACGUCCCUGCCCUUUGUACACACCGCCCGUCGCUACUACCGAUUGAACGGUUUAGUGAGGGCCUCGGAUUGGUCUCGGCCCGCUCUUUACCGGGCGGCGCCGUUGGUCGAGAAGACGCUCGAACUUGAUCGUUUAGAGGAAGUAAAAGUCGUAACA
Molecule: ribosomal RNA, 333 nt
Filed under: uncultured eukaryote
Lineage: Eukaryota
Description: partial 18S ribosomal RNA
Rfam family: Eukaryotic small subunit ribosomal RNA
Source: RNAcentral